This 164-nucleotide ribosomal RNA is filed under the name uncultured bacterium. Its description in RNAcentral is "partial 16S ribosomal RNA". It matches the Rfam family "Bacterial small subunit ribosomal RNA", at positions 355 to 511 of the family's 1533-position model. The record is from RNAcentral.
UGGGGAAUAUUGCACAAUGGGCGCAAGCCUGAUGCAGCCAUGCCGCGUGUAUGAAGAAGGCCUUCGGGUUGUAAAGUACUUUCAGCGAGGAGGAAGGGGAUGUGGUUAAUAACCGCAUUCAUUGACGUUACCCGCAGAAGAAGCACCGGCUAACUCCGUGCCAG